UACGGGGGGGGCAAGCGUUGUUCGGAAUUACUGGGCGUAAAGGGCUCGUAGGCGGCCAACUAAGUCAGACGUGAAAUCCCUCAGCUUAACCGGGGAACUGCGUCUGAUACUGGAUGGCUUGAGUUCGGGAGAGGGAUGCGGAAUUCCAGGUGUAGCGGUGAAAUGCGUAGAUAUCUGGAGGAACACCGGUGGCGAAGGCGGCAUCCUGGACCGAUACUGACGCUGAGGAGCGAAAGCCAGGGGAGCAAACGGG
Molecule: ribosomal RNA, 253 nt
Filed under: uncultured bacterium
Lineage: Bacteria
Description: partial 16S ribosomal RNA
Rfam family: Bacterial small subunit ribosomal RNA
Source: RNAcentral